GCGAGAGUGGUGGAAUUGGUAGACACGCUAGAUUUAGGAUCUAGUGCCUAACGGUGUAAGGGUUCGAGUCCCUUCUCUCGCA
This 82-nucleotide transfer RNA is filed under the name Spirochaeta lutea. It matches the Rfam family "tRNA". From Rfam's summary of the family: Transfer RNA (tRNA) molecules are approximately 80 nucleotides in length. Their secondary structure includes four short double-helical elements and three loops (D, anti-codon, and T loops). Lineage: Bacteria; Pseudomonadati; Spirochaetota; Spirochaetia; Spirochaetales; Spirochaetaceae. The record is from Rfam by way of RNAcentral.